UAAGAUUUAAACCAUAACAAAUAGUGUCUCCCUUUCAAAAUUACGCGUUGUGAUACAAGGACAAAUAUUUUUAUCAAGAAAAUCUACUCAUACACAUAUUUCAUGACCCCUGUUUCAGGAUUGAAAGAAAACUACCUGCCUCAUCCAGAUUUGUUUAAGUAGUAAUCCUGUAGAAGAGACAAGACUACCCUGCACACAAUCUAGACAUGACCACCGCUUUAAUCAGGUUGGACUUGGCCGCAUCCAGCAAUGGAUCUGUCUGAAGAGCUCUGUCGAAGCAGAACUUGGCCUCCUCCCAUCGACCUUCUGCUACAAACACAAGACCGAGAUUGUUAAAUGAAGGAGCAUAGCCUGGCUGGAGUUCCAGAGACUUAGUAAACAUUGCUUUGGCACGUUCAUAUUGCUUUUGCUGCCGGUAGAGAUUUCCAAUAUUGCAAAAUAUUGCAUGUGCUUGUUCAGAUGCUGCAAAUGCCAAAGCCUGCUUAUAUACAUCUUCAGCUUGUGAUGAUUCCUCUGAUAAUUGAAGUGAGAUACCAAGAUUUGACCAUGCAUAACUGCAUUUUUUAAAUCGAGUGACUGCAACCUUGAGAUACUUCUGUGCUAUUUCAAACUGUCGGGAACAGAGACAAUGCAGGCCAAGUUGGUGCCAUGGCACCCCAUCAUCUGGGUCCUCUGCUAUUGCCUGUUUUAAACUGUAGAGAGCACACUCUUCCACAUCCACCAACUCAUCCUUUUCCGUUUCAAAUGCUGCUGCAAUCUCAUGCUGCGCCUUGUGCACCAUGGCAAGUCCUGCCCAAGCAAUGGGAAGUUCAAUUGGAACAGAAUCUCCUUCUCUCAAAAUUGAAGCCAUUUCAUUUCCAGCCCAGGAAAGCUGUUCACUGGGAUCCUGAGACCUUUCAGCAUCCUUGAUUCGGUGAACUGCUACAGCAUAUCGAGUAGACAUACAGUUGGGCUCCAAUUUUGCUGCCUUCUCCAAGCACUUGCUGGAACUUCUAUGGUCACCAGUCAAGUAAUAUGCAUUAGCAACAGUUGCCCAUAUAUGUGCUGCUUUCGGAUCAACUUUUAAUGCUGCAAGCAAACACUCCUUCGCAACAUUGACAGCUUCAAUCUGAUCUGAAGAAGCACCUUCACCAGCAUUUGCCCCAGCACCUGCGACAACUGAACCAUAUUUACAAAGAAGAAAGGCAGCAUAAUUAACAAAGGCAGCAGGAUG
Molecule: unclassified non-coding RNA, 1213 nt
Filed under: Hevea brasiliensis (rubber tree)
Lineage: Eukaryota; Viridiplantae; Streptophyta; Magnoliopsida; Malpighiales; Euphorbiaceae
Source: RNAcentral